AUAUUAAGAACAUUACCUUAAAGAUCAUCAUCUCAUAUUCAUCAAAUCAAUGGCGUUGAUGCAAAUUACAGAUGGUGCCAUUCCCGUUCAUCUCUAAACUCAGGGUCUAGUCGGAGACGGAGAUACAGACCGAUUGAUACUACCUUCACUCCUCGACGUCGAACACACAAACACAAGAAAACGCCGCACCGAAGAAUUUCGUCGGAGCCCUCGAUUUGCAGUUUCUUCUCUCUUCUGCACACAAACAAAUUCCCAAUUUUCAUUCGAGAUUCAACCCAUGUCGCAGGAUUCAGAGAAGAGAUUCCAUUCCAUCAUGGACAAGCUCUUUCAGAAUGCACAAUCCACUCCUAACUCAAAUUCCGCAUCUUCCCCCUCCUCCUCCUCCAGUCCAUCCGGAGUACAAUUGUCGAGAGGGAGAAAACGGCCUUAUUCUUCGUCUGCUUUGGUAGUGGGAGAGCUGAGAUCAAAAAGUGAUGUUAUUGAGGCAUUGCAGAAGCAUUCUUCAGCUUCUGUUGGAUCCUCUGAUGCUCCAUUGUGCAGGCCUUGGGACCGUGGAGAUCUUUUGAAAAGACUAGCCACAUUCAAGUCAAUGACAUGGUUUGGUAAACCUAAGGUAGUGAAUGCUAUAAAUUGUGCUAGAAGAGGUUGGGUCAAUGUAGAUACAGAUACUAUUGCCUGUGAAUCAUGUGGAGCACGUCUUCUUUUCUCUACCCCAUCUUCCUGGAAUCAGCAACAAGUUGAGAAGGCCGCUUUGGUAUUUAGCUUAAAGUUGGACAAUGGGCACAAGUUACUAUGUCCCUGGAUAGAUAAUGCCUGUGAUGAAGCAUUGGCUGAUUUUCCUCCUACCCCUCCUCCAGUUUUAGUUAAUAAAUUUAGGGAGCGUUAUUCAAUGUUACUACAGCUUUCAGCUCUCCCUGUUAUUUCGUCUUCAUUUCUCAAAUGGAUGAACAGUCCCCAUCUCAAGCAAUUUAUUGAAGAAUUAACCUGGGAAAAUUUUGGCAACGAGUCUCUUGACAAAUCUGAAAUGGAGUACCUUGGAGAUGGACAUGACUCAGAUACUCCUAAAGUAUAUUAUCAGGCUCUAAAGCUAAUUAGCUUGUUUGGAUGGGAACCCCGUUCACUGCCCUAUGUAGUUGACUGCAAGUCCGGAGCGUCAGAUCAAUCUCUCAAGAAAUCCACCACUUUUGAUUCACGCCCUACAGUCAGUCUCUUCACUACUACCACCAAAGAAAAUGUAGCUGGAAAUAGAAUUGCUGAGCUUUCAAGUGAAUUGCAAUCGCAGCCUAAUUCUGUUGUUUUGGAUUGCCGGCUUUGUGGAGCUAGUGUUGGAUUAUGGACUUUCCAUACUAUUCCUAGGCCUGUGGAAAUCAUCAGAUUGGUUGGAUCCACCGAAUUAAACAGUGAGUCAGGCACUCAUGAUUCAGGCAAUAAAAGUGUCAUCAAUCAUGCAGGUAUUGGUAAUGUUGGAAUAUCAAAAUUAACUUCAACAAUUGCAGGGGGGCCUACCCCUGCACGACAGAGUUUCAAGGCCACCAUCACUUUGCCUGUAAUUGGCCAAAGUUUAAGGGCUAGGCUAUUCAGUGAUGAAAAGUUUAGUGAUCAGGUGUAUAAUGACCAAGAAAUGGUCCAAGCUGAUUCCUCGGAUAAAAAAAUGUCACAAAACAGCAAAAGCAAUGAAGAUGCCAUCCCUACUGGAGAAACAGAUCAGCCAAAAGACGGAAGAUUGUUACAGAAUCAAACACUUGAUCCUGGAUGCGUUACUUCUGGUGAUGAUCAGACUCCUUUGUUGGAAGGUACGAGUGUUACUGAUCAUGGAACCUUACCUCAAUCUAGUUUGAAUGGUUCAACUGAAGAAACUAAAGUAAAGAGCACAGAGUGUGUUCCUGCGCAGAAAAUUGAAGUGUCGGAGAAUGCUGAGAAUUCAAUACAGUCGGAUUCUGGUAAUAAAGUAGCAGAUCUCCAUCCCCUAACUUCUCCAGCCGAAAAUCCUUUGACGUCAACAGAUGCUGCUAUGAUCACAAGUACUGAAUGCAGUGAAAAGGAGUUGCCUUCUGAUGUCUCUGACCAAUGUGAUAAUUCAAAUAGCAAAGAGAUUUCAUUGGCCGACUCACAGAUGACCUCAUGCAAAUCUUCACGCCUUGAAGAUGAUACAAGUACCGAUAUUGCUGGUGUGGAAGAAUCAAUGAAAGACAAACUUGGUUCUGAUAACCACACCACUUUAGAAAACCAGGCCCGUGAAGGAGGUGGCUCCAAUGACAAAGUGCAUACCUCAAUGAACAGCAUGCAUCUUGCCCAUGGUGGAGGUACCAUUUAUCAAAUCCUCUUAAUCCUUCUCUUUCCACGAAUGGUGCAGCAUAUUUAUAGAUUCACUAGUUAUCAUAGCCUUAGAGGAUUAUUCCAAGGGUGUAGAGUUCGAUCCAAUCAGGCAGCACAGAUACUUUUGCCCGUGGAUUGCCACAGGAAAUGUCGCACCUGGAUGGAAACAAACCCUAACUGCUCUACAGCGUGAAAAAGGCUCUUCACCACAUUCACCUAAGAACUCUCCAUCAGCGUCCCUCAUUAAGGUCAAUGACCCCGUUACAUCGGUUCGAAAUCUAUUCACGUCUUCUGCGAAGAAAUUGAAAAGCAGUCUAGUUUCUAACGAAAGAACCAAGCACUAGACACUGCUUUCAGUUACAUAUUAACCUGACAGAGCUUCCAGGAUUGAGUUUCUGCCUCUUCUAAGGUAUUAUGAGAUACACACCCUUUGAAGAAGGGUUUUUCAUGUCAUGCCGUUCCCUAUUGAGUAAAUUCUCAAAUGAAUACAUAUGUUGUCAUAUCAUUAUCUAUUUGUUCUCAAAAUAGUUAUUAUGGGGUUUUGUAAUACUAAAGUAAUUUUGACUCGGCCUCUAUUGGUAGCUUGCAAUUUUUGGAACUUAGUUUGAGGUUAAGAUUGACGAGUGUGGUCGGGGCUAUUAAUUUAGAUUGUUAUCGAAACAUAGUCAUUAAUUUGUAAGGUCACGAUUUUGAGUAUUACCAAUCUGAUUAUAACUAAAUGGUAAUUGACAUGCACACAUUCCCCUUCUA
Molecule: RNA transcript, 3066 nt
Organism: Cucumis sativus (cucumber)
Lineage: Eukaryota; Viridiplantae; Streptophyta; Magnoliopsida; Cucurbitales; Cucurbitaceae
Exons: 7
Source: RefSeq, a predicted model, not a curated record